RNAcentral lists this ribosomal RNA (399 nucleotides) under uncultured bacterium. Its description in RNAcentral is "bacterial SSU rRNA". It matches the Rfam family "Bacterial small subunit ribosomal RNA", at positions 29 to 455 of the family's 1533-position model. The record is from RNAcentral.
AGCGAACGCUGGCGGCAGGCCUAAAACAUGCAAGUCGAACGCCGUAGCAAUACGGAGUGGCAGACGGGUGAGUAACACGUGGGAACGUGCCCUUUGGUUCGGAACAACACAGGGAAACUUGUGCUAAUACCGGAUAAGCCCUUACGGGGAAAGAUUUAUCGCCAAAGGAUCGGCCCGCGUCUGAUUAGCUAGUUGGUGAGGUAACGGCUCACCAAGGCUACGAUCAGUAGCUGGUCNGAGAGGAUGAUCAGCCACACUGGGACUGAGACACGGCCCAGACUCCUACGGGAGGCAGCAGUGGGGAAUAUUGGACAAUGGGCGCAAGCCUGAUCCAGCCAUGCCGCGUGAGUGAUGAAGGCCUUAGGGUUGUAAAGCUCUUUUGUCCGGGACGAUAAUGAC